This is a long non-coding RNA of Odontomachus brunneus, 2730 nucleotides long. RefSeq lists it as uncharacterized. The record is from RefSeq and is a predicted model, not a curated record. NCBI's taxonomy places the organism in Eukaryota, Metazoa, Arthropoda, Insecta, Hymenoptera, Formicidae. The transcript has 3 exons.
CUCAGUUUUGUUUUAAAAAUUAACAUUUAUUACAUAAAUAGUGAAAUUAAUUAAAAAAAAGUAAUUUUACUCUUAUAGAGGAAUCUUGAUGCCGUUACUAAAAAUCCGAUCAUAUAAAACCAUUAUUUUAAAUGACAGAUAUGAAAUCAAACGUGUCUUAAUGUUUAAAUCUUUACAAUAUCAUUUUACGUAAUCUGAAUUUACCGAUUGACGAAUCGACGAACGUUUCUACUGUGGCACAGUAAAGAAUUAAUUUCACGGCUUGGCGAGUCCGAGAUUCGAUCUCGCAAGUGAAAGAGCCACGUAUUAGUCAGACUACUAUCGCCUGUGAUUGAGUCUGUUCACUCUUACUCGAUGAAUAACGACAAUGUUUUAGCGCGUCCAAGUACUCCGACACUUUGCACACAGCAAUGGGCCUUCUAUAAUAAACCAUUAGUCAUAAGCCGCAAGCAAAUUGACCAGUCAUAAUCGACUAUUUUGAAACAUAAUUGAUAGUGGUUGGUCAACCUGCCUAUGAGUUAUGACUAAUAGCUUAUUGUAGAAGGCCCAUUAAGCUUAAUCUAAUGUGCUUUUUACUUCCUGUUACUUGUUCUCUUUUUCUGACUUAAGGUUUGAAUCGGAAAAAAAUAAAGAGAAAGAAAUAAAGAACACAAUCUUUGUUUCUUUGGAAAUUAUAGAUCAAGCUUAAGGGCUACGUGUACACCACGCCACCCCCGACACUCGAGUUACCAAUGUACAGUAUUCUAUCGACCCGUACAUCGGUACUGCAGUUUCGUCUAUGGAUUAUUUUUCUGGCUAUGUAUCCCGUUAUCCUGGUCCGGAAAGUCGGUUUGACGUUGGCAUAUUAACAGCAGUGUUAUUAGAUGAUUAAAAUUAGCUAUUAGAUAUUAGUUAGUUAUUAAUUAGUUAUUAGUUACAUAUUAGUUAGCUAUUAAUUAGUUAUUAGAUGAUUAGAUAAUUAGAUUAGUUAGUGUAGUUAGAUGAUUAAAAAUUGUAAUACUUUUAUUUUGAUGAGUUUCAAGAAGUAUUCCGCAUCUCCAAUAACAAGAUAUAUUUUUUGAGAAUUACUAAAAACUAAUUUUUUUAUUGAAUAGGAGAUGCGUUGCAAAAUUCACCGGUAAAAUGUAAUAUAAUUUUUAAUUAUUUAAUUGUGCUAUCAAUGAUAAAAGAGCAAAAAAAAGGAGAAGGAAGGGGAAGAGAGAGCACAAGCGUAUUUAUAACGGUCAAAGGCCAAAGGCAUGUUAAUAGAUUUUUCUCUGUUAGAAUAUAAACGAUGAGGUUGUCCCUUGAGGGAACAACAUGAUGGAACAAGGUGACGUCAUUAUUCAAAAGAUUUUUUUUGUUAUUGACAUUCAUGUGUGCAUAUAAUAUGUGCAUUCAAUAGGUAACUUAAUACCACAAGAGUUUACUACAAUUCCACUUAACGCUUGCGUCGAUCGCUACGUCAUUCUAUUCUUGUUUCCGACAGGAAUGUUACACAAAAAUGGAAUGAUGCCGCGGUCGACAUGAGCAUCAAAUACAAGAACGCACCUUAAACACUCGGUAAGUUUUAGAUAGAAUCUAAUACAAACCAAUCAGAUCCAAAUGUUCACUCAGCAAGCAGUUGCAGUGUUGGAUGCAACCAAUGGCUGCAUUCAGCAGAGAAAGCUGCUUUGCAACUAUUGUAAAAUUCGUGAAUCUGAUUGGUACAUGCUUUUGGAUUCAACCAAAAUUAAGAACACACUCCAAUCAGAUUCACGAAUUUUACAACAGUUGCAAAGCAGCUUUCUCUGCUGAACACAGCCAAUGUCACAGGCAGCGGCACUCGAUGACGCGCGGGUGGUCGAUGACGUCAGAGGGAAACACCCUUGCAACCGGAGGGCCAGUGAACUCAUUGCACUAGGGAGAGCGAGGUCACAGAAAGUGGUGGUGGAGAGGCGAGGUGCGAAACCAGGGCAAAAGGGGCAGAAGACAGCGUAAGAAUAACCGGCUAAGGAGCGUACCGUCGAGUAAUGCAGCGGCGCUCGAUGACGCGCGGGUGGUUGAUGACGUCAGAGAGAAACACGCUUGCAUCGGCGGGCCAGUGAACUCGUUGCGCCAGGGAGAGCGAGGUCACGGAAGGUGGUGGCGGAAUGAGAGACGAGGUGCGAAAUCAGGGCAGAAGGAGCAGAAGAUAGUGUAAGAAUAACCGACUAAUGCGCGUGCCGUCGAACGUACAUAGAGUAACCGCGACGAGGCUGAUGAUAUCCCUCGUCGCGAAUCGGGAAUAUACAUUCAACAGCGACUGCUUUUCCGACGGCGCUGGCGAUAUCAAAUUAUCGACCUUUACGUAUAAAUAGAGCGCACCCGUAAAUAUCCGAAAGGUCAAUGUUGGUCGCGUUCUGAACCAUCGAGCGAAAGUUCCGGCGCUUAUUGCAAAAGAUGCAAUUGCAGGCAGUUAACAAUCAUGUAAAUAAAGGCUAUCGUGAUGUCCAAUCAAAAUAGAAACAAAUAACUCAUAAAGACAAGGAAGAACGAAACGCUGAUUUUGUGUACGGAAAAUUAGUUGACGCACUGAAAAAAACGCGUCUACCUGUAAUACAAACCAAUAAGUCUCGAUCGAGAGAUAAUCCGAUAUUAUAUGUUGUAUAUUAGGCGAAAGUGUCUCUCUGUAAUUCGGAAUCAAUUUUACUCAAUCGAUUACUUAAUUCUGUAAUUUCUGGUGCCUUUGGUCCCUAAUUAAUUCGUAAUAAAUUUUUAUCAAUCGAUUAA